CGCGCCCCUCCCCGGCGCGCUCCCACGCCCGGCGCGGGUUCCCAGGCCGCCCCCCCGCGGUGGCCCAGAGACCCAGUUUGCGGCGGCAAAACAUUGGUCUCCGGGCAACAGGCCCCGCCCGCCCUGGGGCGGCCCGAGCGAGCCCAGCCGCGCCGGGGCAGGGUGGCGGCGAGGCGGCUGGGCCCCGGCCUGGAGCCCGGGGCCCUCACCCUCCCAGAGGCCUGCAGGGCGCAGAGACCCGGAGACAGAGAGCCAGCAACUCGGACCUGGAGAUUCGGGGCCCCGGAGCAAGAAGCACGGAGAAAUUCGUGGAGGCUGAAGCCACAGGGAUCUGUCUGGGACGCAGUGAGGAAGAGAGAUCUGGAGACAAGCAAGGACGGGCCCCCACAAUAAACACAGAGAUAGCGAGCGAGAUGAACACAGACCACCCCAGGCCCGCAGGGACGCCUCUGAAGGAUCCGCUACCUGCCGUGGAGAUCACGCUUGUCCCUGGCCAUGUGUCUCCAUAGAACCUCACCUAUAAUGUGACAUCGAGUAUGUGGAGGCCCCAGAUAAGAGCAUCCGUUCAGAGAGCAGAGGCCCCAUCCCAACAUCACACGGUAGUCAGCUGUGAGGGGCUCCGUGCUGUCCACGAUCGAUCGGUGGAAUCCCUUUGGGAACAAGUUUGGGAGUCGAAUAAUAAAAUUAAAAAAAAAAAAAUCAGAUCCGGAGAGCGAUCCAGAAAUGAACAGAAACUCAGGACACAGAGACUCAGAAAAAGAAGGGGGGCCAGGGGAGGGCAGGGGCCCAGAAAGGGACCUAGGGGAACAGAGACAGUGACAGAGAUGCACAGAAAUACCGAAACAGAGAUAGAGAGAGAUAGGGGUCAGAAAGAUGCAGACAGAGAGGCACAUUAAGAGGCAGAGACUGAGGCGGCCAUUUAGGGGCAGGGAUACCCCAAGAGAGGAACAUUUGCUUUUCAAUGAGACAGUAUACACAUGGCCCACGUUUUAUAGGCCCUGCUUUCGAGAAGCAGCCUGUACCGUAGUUUGGCAAUUGCAAGCUUACCAAGCCAGGUCUCCUCCUCAGGCCCGGUAUGUAGGAUGCACAUUAAAUGCGUUUAUAUAACCUGCCCUCUGUGCAGAAUCUAGGAGCUUUACAUAACAUAGCCCCGUGAGUCAUGCUGCAGACAUGGGGCACUGACCUGACACACCCAACAAGAGGGGACCCCCUUACCCAGGGCCACUAUCUGGAAAUGACUCUGAGAUGUGGGAGAUCAUGGGUUUCACUGAGGAUGAAGUAGAGGUCAGAGGAGGGCAGGGCACUUGCUCUGGGUCACACAGCCAGGAUCCAGCAGCACAGGAAUUCCAACCAUAUCUGCCUGAUUUCAUAGCCUUUGCACCCCAAGGCACCGAGAAAGGCAAUGACUACCAAUGUGCCUCUUUCCAGAGGGGAGGAAAUAGACCGGUAAUAACACAACAGCCCCCCUGGGUAUUGAGUGCAUUGUGCCACAGGGAGUACUUUACAAACACCAUCUCAUUUAUUCCAAAGCCCGGUGAGGUAGGGACAGAAUCCAGCUAUUAAAUAAUAUAAUUAUAACAUAAUUAUACCCGUUAUAUACAGAGCACUAACACUGUACUAAGUGCUUAAGAGGACUUCAUACAGUCACAGCUCUGGAGGUGGGUGAUGUUAUCACCUCCAUUUCAGGAAGGGAAGAGGCUCGAAGAAAGGAAGUCAGGCCAAGGUCAUAGAGAGGGUAUUUGAACCCAGGUCUCUCUGGAUGGUUAUCGCUGCCACCCAUUCCCCGGGGGAUGUGCCCGCAGUGCAUCUAUGCACCGUGCAAUCGAUGUAACAUCUAACACUGACAUCUCAAAUACUUUAGUUCAAAUACCAAGAGCUCCUGCCUCAUCUUUCUCU
This 1896-nucleotide long non-coding RNA is filed under the name Felis catus (domestic cat). RNAcentral's name for it is "lncRNA (ENSFCAG00000047617.1)". The record is from RNAcentral. Lineage: Eukaryota; Metazoa; Chordata; Mammalia; Carnivora; Felidae.